CAGGCCUAACACAUGCAAGUCGAGCGGUAGAGAGGUGCUUGCACCUCUUGAGAGCGGCGGACGGGUGAGUAAUACCUAGGAAUCUGCCUGGUAGUGGGGGAUAACGUUCGGAAACGGACGCUAAUACCGCAUACGUCCUACGGGAGAAAGCAGGGGACCUUCGGGCCUUGCGCUAUCAGAUGAGCCUAGGUCGGAUUAGCUAGUUGGUGAGGUAAUGGCUCACCAAGGCUACGAUCCGUAACUGGUCUGAGAGGAUGAUCAGUCACACUGGAACUGAGACACGGUCCAGACUCCUACGGGAGGCAGCAGUGGGGAAUAUUGGACAAUGGGCGAAAGCCUGAUCCAGCCAUGCCGCGUGUGUGAAGAAGGUCUUCGGAUUGUAAAGCACUUUAAGUUGGGAGGAAGGGCAUUAACCUAAUACGUUAGUGUUUUGACGUUACCGACAGAAUAAGCACCGGCUAACUCUGUGCCAGCAGCCGCGGUAAUACAGAGGGUGCAAGCGUUAAUCGGAAUUACUGGGCGUAAAGCGCGCGUAGGUGGUUUGUUAAGUUGAAUGUGAAAUCCCCGGGCUCAACCUGGGAACUGCAUCCAAAACUGGCAAGCUAGAGUAUGGUAGAGGGUAGUGGAAUUUCCUGUGUAGCGGUGAAAUGCGUAGAUAUAGGAAGGAACACCAGUGGCGAAGGCGACUACCUGGACUGAUACUAACACUGAGGUGCGAAAGCGUGGGGAGUAAACAGGAUUAGAUACCCUGGUAGUCCACGCCGUAAACGAUGUCAACUAGCCGUUGGGAACCUUGAGUUCUUAGUGGCGCAGCUAACGCAUUAAGUUGACCGCCUGGGGAGUACGGCCGCAAGGUUAAAACUCAAAUGAAUUGACGGGGGCCCGCACAAGCGGUGGAGCAUGUGGUUUAAUUCGAAGCAACGCGAAGAACCUUACCAGGCCUUGACAUCCAAUGAACUUUCCAGAGAUGGAUUGGUGCCUUCGGGAACAUUGAGACAGGUGCUGCAUGGCUGUCGUCAGCUCGUGUCGUGAGAUGUUGGGUUAAGUCCCGUAACGAGCGCAACCCUUGUCCUUAGUUACCAGCACGUAAUGGUGGGCACUCUAAGGAGACUGCCGGUGACAAACCGGAGGAAGGUGGGGAUGACGUCAAGUCAUCAUGGCCCUUACGGCCUGGGCUACACACGUGCUACAAUGGUCGGUACAAAGGGUUGCCAAGCCGCGAGGUGGAGCUAAUCCCAUAAAACCGAUCGUAGUCCGGAUCGCAGUCUGCAACUCGACUGCGUGAAGUCGGAAUCGCUAGUAAUCGUGAAUCAGAAUGUCACGGUGAAUACGUUCCCGGGCCUUGUACACACCGCCCGU
RNAcentral lists this ribosomal RNA (1359 nucleotides) under uncultured bacterium. RNAcentral describes it as "bacterial SSU rRNA". It matches the Rfam family "Bacterial small subunit ribosomal RNA", at positions 43 to 1397 of the family's 1533-position model. The record is from RNAcentral.